RNAcentral lists this ribosomal RNA (497 nucleotides) under uncultured bacterium. RNAcentral describes it as "partial 16S ribosomal RNA". It matches the Rfam family "Bacterial small subunit ribosomal RNA", at positions 28 to 507 of the family's 1533-position model. The record is from RNAcentral.
GAUGAACGCUGGCGGCGUGCCUAAUACAUGCAAGUCGAGCGAACAGACGAGGAGCUUGCUCCUCUGACGUUAGCGGCGGACGGGUGAGUAACACGUGGAUAACCUACCUAUAAGACUGGUAUAACUUCGGGAAUCCGGCGCUAAUACCGUAUAAUCUAUUGAACCGCAUGGUUCAAUAGUGAAAGACGGUUUUGCUGUCACUUAUAGAUGGAUCCGCGCCGCAUUAGCUAGUUGGUAAGGUAACGGCUUACCAAGGCAACGAUGCGUAGCCGACCUGAGAGGGUGAUCGGCCACACUGGAAGGGAGACACGGUCAAGACGCCUAAGAGAGGCAGCAGUAGGGAAUCUUCCGCAAUGGGCGAAAGCCUGACGGAGCAACGCGGCGUGAGUGAUGAAGGUCUUCGGAUCGUAAAACUCUGUUAUUAGGGAAGAACAAAUGUGGAAGUAACUAUGCACGUCUUGACGGUACCUAAUCAGAAAGCCACGGCUAACUACGUG